This 240-nucleotide ribosomal RNA is filed under the name Trypanosoma copemani. Its description in RNAcentral is "partial small subunit ribosomal RNA". It matches the Rfam family "Eukaryotic small subunit ribosomal RNA", at positions 398 to 630 of the family's 1831-position model. Lineage: Eukaryota; Euglenozoa; Kinetoplastea; Trypanosomatida; Trypanosomatidae. The record is from RNAcentral.
GAGAAAUAGCUACCACUUCUACGGAGGGCAGCAGGCGCGCAAAUUGCCCAAUGUCAAAAAAAACGAUGAGGCAGCGAAAAGAAAUAGAGCCGGCAGUGCCAAUGGCAUUGCCGUUUUCAAUGGGGGAUAUCUAAACCCAUCCAAAAUCGAGUAUCAAUUGGAGGACAAGUCUGGUGCCAGCACCCGCGGUAAUUCCAGCUCCAAAAGCGUAUAUUAAUGCUGUUGCUGUUAAAGGGUUCG